Molecule: ribosomal RNA, 395 nt
Filed under: uncultured bacterium
Lineage: Bacteria
Description: partial 16S ribosomal RNA
Rfam family: Bacterial small subunit ribosomal RNA
Source: RNAcentral
AUACGUAGGGUGCAAGCGUUAAUCGGGAUUACUGGGCGUAAAGCGUGCGCAGGCGGUUUUGUAAGACAGUGGUGAAAUCCCCGGGCUCAACCUGGGAACUGCCAUUGUGACUGCAAGGCUGGAGUGCGGCAGAGGGGGAUGGAAUUCCGCGUGUAGCAGUGAAAUGCGUAGAUAUGCGGAGGAACACCGAUGGCGAAGGCAAUCCCCUGGGCCUGCACUGACGCUCAUGCACGAAAGCGUGGGGAGCAAACAGGAUUAGAUACCCUGGUAGUCCACGCCCUAAACGAUGUCAACUGGUUGUUGGGGAUUUAUUUUCUCAGUAACGAAGCUAACGCGUGAAGUUGACCGCCUGGGGAGUACGGCCGCAAGGUUAAAACUCAAAUGAAUUGACGGGG